AGGUAGAGAAUACUAAGGCGAAGAGAUAAUACUUGUAAAGGACUCGGCAAACUGUCUUCAUAAGUUAGACGAUAUGAAGAACCACUGGAUGCUAUUACUCCUUAUUUUUUAUAUAAGGUUAGCCUUAAUAAAUAGAGAUUUCAUAAGUUUAGCGCCUAUGGUGUUAAGUUUAUAUAAGGAAGUGUAAACCUCCCCUUUAGCUGUAGGGAAACUUAUAACUAUAGGCUAGGUUGCUUUGUGUAUUACUAUAUUGGUAAUCCAGGGCCUUAAUAGUAUUUAAGUGGUGGCACAGAAUCGGAGGCCCCGACUGUUUACCUAAAACACAGCUUUCUGCGACGAAUAAUAUCUUUGUAUAGAAAGCGAAUUUUGCCCAAUGCCAUUAAUAUAAGGUCGAUAAGCGCUUAAGCGUAAUUAUUGGCUGAAGUUCUGGUCAAUGGCGGUCUUAUCUAUGAGGAUCCUAAGGUAGCAAAAUUAAUUGUCCAUUAAAUGUGGUCCUGACUGAAUAAAGUAACGAUGGUCUCGCUGUCUCUACAAGUAUCUCAGUGAAAUUGAAUUAGCCGUGCAGAUGCGGUUUAACUUCGGGUAGACGGGAAGACCCU
RNAcentral lists this ribosomal RNA (599 nucleotides) under Tulasnella sp. M-1. RNAcentral describes it as "LSU rRNA". It matches the Rfam family "Bacterial large subunit ribosomal RNA", at positions 1669 to 2092 of the family's 2925-position model. Lineage: Eukaryota; Fungi; Basidiomycota; Agaricomycetes; Cantharellales; Tulasnellaceae. The record is from RNAcentral.